Nematostella vectensis (starlet sea anemone) is the source of this 15105-nucleotide long non-coding RNA. RefSeq lists it as uncharacterized. NCBI's taxonomy places the organism in Eukaryota, Metazoa, Cnidaria, Anthozoa, Actiniaria, Edwardsiidae. The transcript has 2 exons. The record is from RefSeq and is a predicted model, not a curated record.
CUCUCUUUAAAAACAAAUUUAUCAGCAUAGCUGUUAUUAUUUAGCCUGUCUAUUGUAAACAUAUGUUGUACAGAAUUGAAAAAACUGUUUCACUAGUUUCUGACUUAUGCUAAACAAUAUGUAUGUGGUUCUUUAGCUGAUAACAAUAGAAGCAGACCAAGAUAAUAUGCAUUUCACAAUUGCGUCAAAUGAAAACAUAAACAGUUACAUUAGAGAAACAGUACUACCGUCAAUAAUAAUAAUAAUAAUAAUAAUAAUAAAUAACCGUCAACACCGGUUAAACCAUAUUUGUUUACAUACUUUGUUUUCAUUUAUUUUCUGUUAUUUCAAUGAGCAAGCACUAACCAAUGUCUAUCGUAAACAUGUGUUGUACAAAAUAUUAGGCUUGAAAAUCUGUCUAACCAGUUCCUGACUUAUGCUAAACUAUAUGUAUGUGGUUCUUUAGCUGAUAACAAUAGAAGCAGACCAAGAUAAUAUGACUUUCACAAUUGCGUCAAAUGAAAACACAAACAGUUACAUUAGAGAAACAGUACUACUGUAAACACCGGUUAAACCAUAUUUGUUUACAUACUUUGUUUUCAUUUAUUUUCUGUUAUUUCAAUGAGCAAGCACUAACCAAUGUCUAAUCUAUCUAGUCUAAUCUAAUCUAAUCUAAUCUAUCUAACCUAUCUAAUCUAUCUAAUCUAAUCUAUCUCUUCUAUCUAUCUAGUCUAUCUAAUCUAUCUAUUUAGCACUUAGUUAGGGCCCAGUCGCACUAGCAAGAUGUUCAGGAGAUUUCAGGGACAUUUAGGUGGACAAGUUUGUCCCAUGACAUUUAUGCACUAUAUCAGACAUUCUCAAAUUAAGGUCGCACUGGCUGCAACAUCCGUAGAUCACGAGCCCUAAAAAUAACAUCGUAUGUCAUUCAUCUGCGUUUCCUUCGCGCGCGGGAGAUUCGAAGAGCAAAUACUCUCUGAAUGCUGCACGUCUGCAUAUUAAAAGAAAAUGUCUUGAAAAAAAACUGCUGCUUUUCGUUUGGAUGUCCCUAUACAUCGUGCUGCGAUAGUCGGAUGCAUAGCUGUUACUGUUUGCAAAUGUAGUUGUCUAUUAUGCACCGAAGGCGAAGACGUACAUGUUUGGCUUGGAAUUGACCGUUCCUCACGCCGCCAGAUUGUUGGAAAUAAGGGAUUUUGGUAGAGAUUCACCUCUAGCUUUGAAGGCGAAGCGAAGGUUGCUUGCUAUUUGAGACCAUUUACGUUUUUUGUGUGAGUGACGUUCUUUGCACGAUAAGAAUAGAAGAUUUUUUUUCCUCAUGAGUCUGCAUAAUUUUUGGACCAGUUUCUGAUCUGUUCAAACAAACAAACAAAAAAUAAGAAAGAAAGAAAAAAAUGUUCCUACCCAACUGCUUUUUAUACGAACAAAAUCCAUAUUCGUUUCCCCGUGUUUUUUAUUCAGUUUUAUUAUUUUAUUAUUAUGUGUAUGUGAAGGACCGCCUUUUGAUUAUUUCACGCUAGUGAUGACUAAAAUAGAAAUUUAGCCUAAAUCCGCUAAAUAGCGCAAAAAUCGCUGUAAGUUUUUUUUGACGUAUUUCCAGCCCUACUCUGUAUUUUCUAUGCAGAAAAUAGGUAAUUUUUAUUUUUUUUUGUUAUUAACAAUUACCCCCCUUACUAUUAGGUUCUGUUUCGGUUCUGUUUAGGUUCUAAGAAAUUUUAGGUUCUAGGAUCACCACGGUUCUUAAUUUGACCUCCAUUUAAUAUUUGCAAUGGUAGUCUUGAUCAUUUGUUGUUUUUAAAAAAGAAGCCAAUUCGAGCAAAAUUCUUCCAACUGCCGUCGACUUAGUUUGAUCAAAAUUGUAGUUCCAUGAGUCACGAUCGAUCAACAAGCUCACACUUAAGCUAUAUAAUACUAAGUACACGGAAGUAAGUCUUUUACCAGACGGCGCAUACAAUUUAUAGAAUGACUUUUACUUACGUAUAGUAACGUUACACGCUGACUUUCACUUAACACGUUUCACCUUGCUUUUAUAGAUAGAGCUCAUAAAAAAUAAAUGCAAUACAUAAUUGAGUUAAUUCAUUUAUUUAUUGACUUAUCGGGUUAUAUCCUUAUCGUAUACUAUUUAGAAAUCUACAAAACUGCAAGUAUAUAUUUAAUCACCGGGGCCGGGCUGUCAAUUGACUGGUGCAUUAUUUGCGGAUACCUGUAAUGUGUUAUCGAGAACUGCCUCUAAUAAUGAUGAAGCAGAGUUCAGACAUUUUAAAAGUUAUUUGUUUAUGCAAAUUGCCUCUUAGUCGUCGCCUUUGAAGUAUGGAUUGUACCCUAUGCUGUGCUGCUGCCGUCACCUAAUACUGUUUGUUCUCCGAUUUAAAGUUUCUACCUUUCAGUUUAGGACGUGCUUGAAAAUUACCCCGUGUAGCUGGGGAUGUUAAAAGUUUUAGAAUAUACUUCACCUGAAUUAUAUUUUAAUUGAGAUUUGAGGAGCUCGUUCUGCGUCGUCGCUCAGAAAGAUGCAUGCAUGGCUGAUAUACCCAAAGGGAUAAACAAUCACACCGAUGUUCUAGAAAAAAUCCUUUUCAAAUAUGUGGUUUUGGUUUGUAACUGCUAGAACCAUGGGAGUAAUGGCCUUAUCAAAAUUUCUGUACAAAUGAUGUUGAUGAUAUUAAAGUAUAUUAUCCAGACAAGCUUUAAUACACUUUAUUUUCAUGCACGAUCAGAGGGGGUGCUUCAUCUCUUAUAAAGGAAUCCAAAAAUACUAUGCAUAUACAAUGCAUAAAUAUGAUACCUGCGCACAACCCUCAGCCGCGCGUGAAAGUAUAUAUGCAACCAUGGGCUCAUAGAUAGUGAUGACUAAAAUAGAAAUUUAGCCUAAAUCCGCUAAAUAGCGCAAAAAUCGCUGUAAGUUUUUUUUGACGUAUUUCCAGCCCUACUCUGUAUUUUCUAUGCAGAAAAUAGGUAAUUUUUAUUUUUUUUGUUAUUAACAAUUACCCCCCUUACUAUUAGGUUCUGUUUCGGUUCUGUUUAGGUUCUAAGAAAUUUUAGGUUCUAGGAUCACCACGGUUCUUAAUUUGACCUCCAUUUAAUAUUUGCAAUGGUAGUCUUGAUCAUUUGUUGUUUUUAAAAAAGAAGCCAAUUCGAGCAAAAUUCUUCCAACUGCCGUCGACUUAGUUUGAUCAAAAUUGUAGUUCCAUGAGUCACGAUCGAUCAACAAGCUCACACUUAAGCUAUAUAAUACUAAGUACACGGAAGUAAGUCUUUUACCAGACGGCGCAUACAAUUUAUAGAAUGACUUUUACUUAAGUAUAGUAACGUUACACGCUGACUUUCACUUAACACGUUUCACCUUGCUUUUAUAGAUAGAGCUCAUAAAAAAUAAAUGCAAUACAUAAUUGAGUUAAUUCAUUUAUUUAUUGACUUAUCGGGUUAUAUCCUUAUCGUAUACUAUUUAGAAAUCUACAAAACUGCAAGUAUAUAUUUAAUCACCGGGGCCGGGCUGUCAAUUGACUGGUGCAUUAUUUGCGGAUACCUGUAAUGUGUUAUCGAGAACUGCCUCUAAUAAUGAUGAAGCAGAGUUCAGACAUUUUAAAAGUUAUUUGUUUAUGCAAAUUGCCUCUUAGUCGUCGCCUUUGAAGUAUGGAUUGUACCCUAUGCUGUGCUGCUGCCGUCACCUAAUACUGUUUGUUCUCCGAUUUAAAGUUUCUACCUUUCAGUUUAGGACGUGCUUGAAAAUUACCCCGUGUAGCUGGGGAUGUUAAAAGUUUUAGAAUAUACUUCACCUGAAUUAUAUUUUAAUUGAGAUUUGAGGAGCUCGUUCUGCGUCGUCGCUCAGAAAGAUGCAUGCAUGGCUGAUAUACCCAAAGGGAUAAACAAUCACACCGAUGUUCUAGAAAAAAUCCUUUUCAAAUAUGUGGUUUUGGUUUGUAACUGCUAGAACCAUGGGAGUAAUGGCCUUAUCAAAAUUUCUGUACAAAUGAUGUUGAUGAUAUUAAAGUAUAUUAUCCAGACAAGCUUUAAUACACUUUAUUUUCAUGCACGAUCAGAGGGGGUGCUUCAUCUCUUAUAAAGGAAUCCAAAAAUACUAUGCAUAUACAAUGCAUAAAUAUGAUACCUGCGCACAACCCUCAGCCGCGCGUGAAAGUAUAUAUGCAACCAUGGGCUCAUAGAUAGUGAUGACUAAAAUAGAAAUUUAGCCUAAAUCCGCUAAAUAGCGCAAAAAUCGCUGUAAGUUUUUUUUGACGUAUUUCCAGCCCUACUCUGUAUUUUCUAUGCAGAAAAUAGGUAAUUUUUAUUUUUUUUGUUAUUAACAAUUACCCCCCUUACUAUUAGGUUCUGUUUCGGUUCUGUUUAGGUUCUAAGAAAUUUUAGGUUCUAGGAUCACCACGGUUCUUAAUUUGACCUCCAUUUAAUAUUUGCAAUGGUAGUCUUGAUCAUUUGUUGUUUUUAAAAAAGAAGCCAAUUCGAGCAAAAUUCUUCCAACUGCCGUCGACUUAGUUUGAUCAAAAUUGUAGUUCCAUGAGUCACGAUCGAUCAACAAGCUCACACUUAAGCUAUAUAAUACUAAGUACACGGAAGUAAGUCUUUUACCAGACGGCGCAUACAAUUUAUAGAAUGACUUUUACUUAAGUAUAGUAACGUUACACGCUGACUUUCACUUAACACGUUUCACCUUGCUUUUAUAGAUAGAGCUCAUAAAAAAUAAAUGCAAUACAUAAUUGAGUUAAUUCAUUUAUUUAUUGACUUAUCGGGUUAUAUCCUUAUCGUAUACUAUUUAGAAAUCUACAAAACUGCAAGUAUAUAUUUAAUCACCGGGGCCGGGCUGUCAAUUGACUGGUGCAUUAUUUGCGGAUACCUGUAAUGCGUUAUCGAGAACUGCCUCUAAUAAUGAUGAAGCAGAGUUCAGACAUUUUAAAAGUUAUUUGUUUAUGCAAAUUGCCUCUUAGUCGUCGCCUUUGAAGUAUGGAUUGUACCCUAUGCUGUGCUGCUGCCGUCACCUAAUACUGUUUGUUCUCCGAUUUAAAGUUUCUACCUUUCAGUUUAGGACGUGCUUGAAAAUUACCCCGUGUAGCUGGGGAUGUUAAAAGUUUUAGAAUAUACUUCACCUGAAUUAUAUUUUAAUUGAGAUUUGAGGAGCUCGUUCUGCGUCGUCGCUCAGAAAGAUGCAUGCAUGGCUGAUAUACCCAAAGGGAUAAACAAUCACACCGAUGUUCUAGAAAAAAUCCUUUUCAAAUAUGUGGUUUUGGUUUCUAACUGCUAGAACCAUGGGAGUAAUGGCCUUAUCAAAAUUUCUGUACAAAUGAUGUUGAUGAUAUUAAAGUAUAUUAACCAGACAAGCUUUAAUACACUUUAUUUUCAUGCACGAUCAGAGGGGGUGCUUCAUCUCUUAUAAAGGAAUCCAAAAAUACUAUGCAUAUACAAUGCAUAAAUAUGAUACCUGCGCACAACCCUCAGCCGCGCGUGAAAGUAUAUAUGCAACCAUGGGCUCAUAGAUAGUGAUGACUAAAAUAGAAAUUUAGCCUAAAUCCGCUAAAUAGCGCAAAAAUCGCUGUAAGUUUUUUUUGACGUAUUUCCAGCCCUACUCUGUAUUUUCUAUGCAGAAAAUAGGUAAUUUUUAUUUUUUUUGUUAUUAACAAUUACCCCCCUUACUAUUAGGUUCUGUUUCGGUUCUGUUUAGGUUCUAAGAAAUUUUAGGUUCUAGGAUCACCACGGUUCUUAAUUUGACCUCCAUUUAAUAUUUGCAAUGGUAGUCUUGAUCAUUUGUUGUUUUUAAAAAAGAAGCCAAUUCGAGCAAAAUUCUUCCAACUGCCGUCGACUUAGUUUGAUCAAAAUUGUAGUUCCAUGAGUCACGAUCGAUCAACAAGCUCACACUUAAGCUAUAUAAUACUAAGUACACGGAAGUAAGUCUUUUACCAGACGGCGCAUACAAUUUAUAGAAUGACUUUUACUUAAGUAUAGUAACGUUACACGCUGACUUUCACUUAACACGUUUCACCUUGCUUUUAUAGAUAGAGCUCAUAAAAAAUAAAUGCAAUACAUAAUUGAGUUAAUUCAUUUAUUUAUUGACUUAUCGGGUUAUAUCCUUAUCGUAUACUAUUUAGAAAUCUACAAAACUGCAAGUAUAUAUUUAAUCACCGGGGCCGUGCUGUCAAUUGACUGGUGCAUUAUUUGCGGAUACCUGUAAUGCGUUAUCGAGAACUGCCUCUAAUAAUGAUGAAGCAGAGUUCAGACAUUUUAAAAGUUAUUUGUUUAUGCAAAUUGCCUCUUAGUCGUCGCCUUUGAAGUAUGGAUUGUACCCUAUGCUGUGCUGCUGCCGUCACCUAAUACUGUUUGUUCUCCGAUUUAAAGUUUCUACCUUUCAGUUUAGGACGUGCUUGAAAAUUACCCCGUGUAGCUGGGGAUGUUAAAAGUUUUAGAAUAUACUUCACCUGAAUUAUAUUUUAAUUGAGAUUUGAGGAGCUCGUUCUGCGUCGUCGCUCAGAAAGAUGCAUGCAUGGCUGAUAUACCCAAAGGGAUAAACAAUCACACCGAUGUUCUAGAAAAAAUCCUUUUCAAAUAUGUGGUUUUGGUUUCUAACUGCUAGAACCAUGGGAGUAAUGGCCUUAUCAAAAUUUCUGUACAAAUGAUGUUGAUGAUAUUAAAGUAUAUUAUCCAGACAAGCUUUAAUACACUUUAUUUUCAUGCACGAUCAGAGGGGGUGCUUCAUCUCUUAUAAAGGAAUCCAAAAAUACUAUGCAUAUAAAAUGCAUAAAUAUGAUACCUGCGCACAACCCUCAGCCGCGCGUGAAAGUAUAUAUGCAACCAUGGGCUCAUAGAUAGUGAUGACUAAAAUAGAAAUUUAGCCUAAAUCCGCUAAAUAGCGCAAAAAUCGCUGUAAGUUUUUUUUGACGUAUUUCCAGCCCUACUCUGUAUUUUCUAUGCAGAAAAUAGGUAAUUUUUAUUUUUUUUGUUAUUAACAAUUACCCCCCUUACUAUUAGGUUCUGUUUCGGUUCUGUUUAGGUUCUAAGAAAUUUUAGGUUCUAGGAUCACCACGGUUCUUAAUUUGACCUCCAUUUAAUAUUUGCAAUGGUAGUCUUGAUCAUUUGUUGUUUUUAAAAAAGAAGCCAAUUCGAGCAAAAUUCUUCCAACUGCCGUCGACUUAGUUUGAUCAAAAUUGUAGUUCCAUGAGUCACGAUCGAUCAACAAGCUCACACUUAAGCUAUAUAAUACUAAGUACACGGAAGUAAGUCUUUUACCAGACGGCGCAUACAAUUUAUAGAAUGACUUUUACUUAAGUAUAGUAACGUUACACGCUGACUUUCACUUAACACGUUUCACCUUGCUUUUAUAGAUAGAGCUCAUAAAAAAUAAAUGCAAUACAUAAUUGAGUUAAUUCAUUUAUUUAUUGACUUAUCGGGUUAUAUCCUUAUCGUAUACUAUUUAGAAAUCUACAAAACUGCAAGUAUAUAUUUAAUCACCGGGGCCGGGCUGUCAAUUGACUGGUGCAUUAUUUGCGGAUACCUGUAAUGCGUUAUCGAGAACUGCCUCUAAUAAUGAUGAAGCAGAGUUCAGACAUUUUAAAAGUUAUUUGUUUAUGCAAAUUGCCUCUUAGUCGUCGCCUUUGAAGUAUGGAUUGUACCCUAUGCUGUGCUGCUGCCGUCACCUAAUACUGUUUGUUCUCCGAUUUAAAGUUUCUACCUUUCAGUUUAGGACGUGCUUGAAAAUUACCCCGUGUAGCUGGGGAUGUUAAAAGUUUUAGAAUAUACUUCACCUGAAUUAUAUUUUAAUUGAGAUUUGAGGAGCUCGUUCUGCGUCGUCGCUCAGAAAGAUGCAUGCAUGGCUGAUAUACCCAAAGGGAUAAACAAUCACACCGAUGUUCUAGAAAAAAUCCUUUUCAAAUAUGUGGUUUUGGUUUCUAACUGCUAGAACCAUGGGAGUAAUGGCCUUAUCAAAAUUUCUGUACAAAUGAUGUUGAUGAUAUUAAAGUAUAUUAUCCAGACAAGCUUUAAUACACUUUAUUUUCAUGCACGAUCAGAGGGGGUGCUUCAUCUCUUAUAAAGGAAUCCAAAAAUGCUAUGCAUAUACAAUGCAUAAAUAUGAUACCUGCGCACAACCCUCAGCCGCGCGUGAAAGUAUAUAUGCAACCAUGGGCUCAUAGAUAGUGAUGACUAAAAUAGAAAUUUAGCCUAAAUCCGCUAAAUAGCGCAAAAAUCGCUGUAAGUUUUUUUUGACGUAUUUCCAGCCCUACUCUGUAUUUUCUAUGCAGAAAAUAGGUAAUUUUUAUUUUUUUGUUAUUAACAUAUCCCCCCCUUACUAUUAGGUUCUGUUUCGGUUCUGUUUAGGUUCUAAGAAAUUUUAGGUUCUAGGAUCACCACGGUUCUUAAUUUGACCUCCAUUUAAUAUUUGCAAUGGUAGUCUUGAUCAUUUGUUGUUUUUAAAAAAGAAGCCAAUUCGAGCAAAAUUCUUCCAACUGCCGUCGACUUAGUUUGAUCAAAAUUGUAGUUCCAUGAGUCACGAUCGAUCAACAAGCUCACACUUAAGCUAUAUAAUACUAAGUACACGGAAGUAAGUCUUUUACCAGACGGCGCAUACAAUUUAUAGAAUGACUUUUACUUAAGUAUAGUAACGUUACACGCUGACUUUCACUUAACACGUUUCACCUUGCUUUUAUAGAUAGAGCUCAUAAAAAAUAAAUGCAAUACAUAAUUGAGUUAAUUCAUUUAUUUAUUGACUUAUCGGGUUAUAUCCUUAUCGUAUACUAUUUAGAAAUCUACAAAACUGCAAGUAUAUAUUUAAUCACCGGGGCCGGGCUGUCAAUUGACUGGUGCAUUAUUUGCGGAUACCUGUAAUGCGUUAUCGAGAACUGCCUCUAAUAAUGAUGAAGCAGAGUUCAGACAUUUUAAAAGUUAUUUGUUUAUGCAAAUUGCCUCUUAGUCGUCGCCUUUGAAGUAUGGAUUGUACCCUAUGCUGUGCUGCUGCCGUCACCUAAUACUGUUUGUUCUCCGAUUUAAAGUUUCUACCUUUCAGUUUAGGACGUGCUUGAAAAUUACCCCGUGUAGCUGGGGAUGUUAAAAGUUUUAGAAUAUACUUCACCUGAAUUAUAUUUUAAUUGAGAUUUGAGGAGCUCGUUCUGCGUCGUCGCUCAGAAAGAUGCAUGCAUGGCUGAUAUACCCAAAGGGAUAAACAAUCACACCGAUGUUCUAGAAAAAAUCCUUUUCAAAUAUGUGGUUUUGGUUUCUAACUGCUAGAACCAUGGGAGUAAUGGCCUUAUCAAAAUUUCUGUACAAAUGAUGUUGAUGAUAUUAAAGUAUAUUAUCCAGACAAGCUUUAAUACACUUUAUUUUCAUGCACGAUCAGAGGGGGUGCUUCAUCUCUUAUAAAGGAAUCCAAAAAUGCUAUGCAUAUACAAUGCAUAAAUAUGAUACCUGCGCACAACCCUCAGCCGCGCGUGAAAGUAUAUAUGCAACCAUGGGCUCAUAGAUAGUGAUGACUAAAAUAGAAAUUUAGCCUAAAUCCGCUAAAUAGCGCAAAAAUCGCUGUAAGUUUUUUUUGACGUAUUUCCAGCCCUACUCUGUAUUUUCUAUGCAGAAAAUAGGUAAUUUUUAUUUUUUUGUUAUUAACAUAUCCCCCCCUUACUAUUAGGUUCUGUUUCGGUUCUGUUUAGGUUCUAAGAAAUUUUAGGUUCUAGGAUCACCACGGUUCUUAAUUUGACCUCCAUUUAAUAUUUGCAAUGGUAGUCUUGAUCAUUUGUUGUUUUUAAAAAAGAAGCCAAUUCGAGCAAAAUUCUUCCAACUGCCGUCGACUUAGUUUGAUCAAAAUUGUAGUUCCAUGAGUCACGAUCGAUCAACAAGCUCACACUUAAGCUAUAUAAUACUAAGUACACGGAAGUAAGUCUUUUACCAGACGGCGCAUACAAUUUAUAGAAUGACUUUUACUUAAGUAUAGUAACGUUACACGCUGACUUUCACUUAACACGUUUCACCUUGCUUUUAUAGAUAGAGCUCAUAAAAAAUAAAUGCAAUACAUAAUUGAGUUAAUUCAUUUAUUUAUUGACUUAUCGGGUUAUAUCCUUAUCGUAUACUAUUUAGAAAUCUACAAAACUGCAAGUAUAUAUUUAAUCACCGGGGCCGGGCUGUCAAUUGACUGGUGCAUUAUUUGCGGAUACCUGUAAUGCGUUAUCGAGAACUGCCUCUAAUAAUGAUGAAGCAGAGUUCAGACAUUUUAAAAGUUAUUUGUUUAUGCAAAUUGCCUCUUAGUCGUCGCCUUUGAAGUAUGGAUUGUACCCUAUGCUGUGCUGCUGCCGUCACCUAAUACUGUUUGUUCUCCGAUUUAAAGUUUCUACCUUUCAGUUUAGGACGUGCUUGAAAAUUACCCCGUGUAGCUGGGGAUGUUAAAAGUUUUAGAAUAUACUUCACCUGAAUUAUAUUUUAAUUGAGAUUUGAGGAGCUCGUUCUGCGUCGUCGCUCAGAAAGAUGCAUGCAUGGCUGAUAUACCCAAAGGGAUAAACAAUCACACCGAUGUUCUAGAAAAAAUCCUUUUCAAAUAUGUGGUUUUGGUUUCUAACUGCUAGAACCAUGGGAGUAAUGGCCUUAUCAAAAUUUCUGUACAAAUGAUGUUGAUGAUAUUAAAGUAUAUUAUCCAGACAAGCUUUAAUACACUUUAUUUUCAUGCACGAUCAGAGGGGGUGCUUCAUCUCUUAUAAAGGAAUCCAAAAAUGCUAUGCAUAUACAAUGCAUAAAUAUGAUACCUGCGCACAACCCUCAGCCGCGCGUGAAAGUAUAUAUGCAACCAUGGGCUCAUAGAUAGGGGCGUCACUCUCCAGUAUUCUGUGCUUAGUCUCUGCGGUCCUUCGCACAGAAAAUGUUUAUAUUGUAUAUUCUACAUAAACAACACACAAGGUGUGAGGAGUGACGCGUACCAAUUUAUUGGAGACGAUAUUACAAGUAUAGAUGUAAUGUAAAAUAUACAAACAUGUUCAUGUAUCAACUAGCAGAAGACUGGGGAAAAACAACCCCGGAAAAAACGACGCGUUAUGCAAACUGAAGCAGAUGCUCCGCCUAUUCUCAAAGAAUGUAAGCCAAUACUACCUGGGAGUACGCCUAUAGCGCGGAACUUGGCAAGGACCGUUUCCAUGAGCCUAGAAUAAGAAAGUUGGGUGCCAGUUUUUGUAACUGGCUUACGAUCCCUGCGCUUGCAGCCUCCAAAAAUACAACGCAAAAAUUUGCUUUCACAUGGGUUGACAGCGCCACAAGCGUUAUGAAAGUAAUUUAGGCUAUAGAAAGAUUGCUGAAUGGUAAAUAAGGAACAACCCAACUGAACCAAAAAUAUAAAGGAUCAGGCGAAAUUAAUGUCAGUGGCUGGGAAAUAUCUAAUCUCGGGAAAACUGGAACCCCAGCUUUUCCAUUUUUUUUUUUUUGUUGAAAUAACCAAAGUACGGCUUGAGGCUACUUGGAGACUUGGAAUCCGAAAUGAUUCUGGGGAUGCGCAAGGCGAGUUGGCUUAGUACUGGAUCAGAUGGUGCCAUAGCUUCAUGAAAUCUAGGAAUUGUAAAUAAUAAGACAGAUGGUUAACAUGGUACAGGUUUUAUUGGCUCAAAAUGAAGUCUAAAUAGUAACACUAUGUACAGAAAAAUAUUAAGAGAUAAUCAAUCGCUACAAAGCGUUCGUUACUCUCUAUAAAGCGUUCGUUACUCGCUAUAAAUCGUUUGUUCUUUGCUAUAAAGCAUCCAUUCAUCGCUAUAAAGCGUUCAUUUAUCGCUAUAAAGCAUUCAUUUAUCGCUAUAAAGCGUUCAUUUAUUGCUAUAAAGCAUUCAUUUGUUGCUAUAAAACGUUCAUUCAUAGCUAUAUAUGAAGUGUUCUUUAUCGCUAUAAAUAAUCAUUAUUAGCUAUAAAGCUUACUAUUCUUUACUUGGUAAGCAACAUUCAUGUUCAGCUAUGGAGCAUUGGUGAUCCUAGUUGAUAAGGAAAACCUAGCGUCUAGGUAAACAACUAAGACUGGAGACAUAAAGGAAUGCAUACCAAAAAUGGUAGGAAAAUUAAGAUGGGUGCUGUGAAAAAUCCCAGUAGGAUCCGAAAAUUCAAUAAUUUGAAAAACUGAAUGUCUAGGGUCUCCGGAAGGAAAAAGAAAAGGCCAAAAGCUAGCAGAAGUCCACUUGGGAACAAUGAUAACGCCUGUCGCACCAGACACUUCUAAGUGACUGAUAGCACGUGAAACUAGAUACACGGGUGGUACCAAAUAGUUAUUAACGCCUUCCCAAGAAGUAGAAAAGGCGUCUACACCUUCACAACCAGGACACCAAAACUUGGAGUAGAAACGUGCGCACUUAUUUGUGAGUGAAGAUGCGAAACGGUCGAUUUCGAACGGCCCGAAGAGCUUACUAACGUGGGAAAAGAAUGUUUGAGAAAUAGCCCAGUCAUCAUAGUCAACAAUACGACUUAUGGAAUCGGCAUAUUCAUUAAGCGAACGAGGGAUCCACUCGACUUCAAGAAAAAUGUUGUGAAGAAAACAAUACUCCAGAAUCUGAAGCGCUAACGAGUGGAGACGUAACGAGUUACUUCCCCUAGCUGUGAUAAUAGCAGCAUUGCGGUUAUCUGUAAACACUUUGACAGUUUUACCAAGAAGACAGUGCCUACACGAUCUGAGGCCGUAUAAAAUUGCGAGUAACUCUCUGGCAUUGCUGUCUAGAUUAACCUCUAAAGUAGAGAAAGCACGGAAGUAUAAAUCAAAUUCUUCUGAAUCAAUUUGUCUUACACAUCCUCCACAGGACAACGCGCUGGCGUCGGAAUAAACAAUAGUUGUAGGUAUUGAGUACUCUGUUAGGGCACGCCCAUUGAGCUUAUUACAGUUAUCGAGCCAAAACUCGAUUUCUCUAGAACACUCUAAAGAGUAUUUGUAUGCAGAAAAAUCAAAUAUAAGAUCCCAUUGAUCACCGUGUAGCUUGACAAAAGACUGCAAAAACUUGGACAUGAGGAAAGCAAUGUUCCCGACUCCCAUUUCAAGAGAGACGAUUUUCCCCGUAACAGAAGCGACUUCACGAGGGGUAACAAAUGGGAACUUAGCUCUGAGAGAAUUGAGUGCUUUAAUAAGGCCAUUGAUGCGCCUAAUAGGAAUAGAAACUACAUUAGAGUCAAGAUCCCAAAGUACCCCAAGCCACUCUAAGGAUUGCUGAGGAAUCCAGACAGACUUUUGAUCGUUAAUAACCACGCCUGCUGAAGCGAGGUCUUGUUGGAUUAUGCAAGACGCGCGCUGUGCUUGAAUAAAGGUAGGAAGGCAAACAACUCCAUCGUCUAAAUAAAGAACGAUGGGAAUACCUUGAGAACGCCAGUGCCGAACUAAGGGACAAAACAAUUUAGUGAAUAAAUAAGGCGCAGAGGCUAAGCCAAAAGGCAAGACUGUAAAAACAAAAUAUAUCGGGAAUGGUGAAUUAAGGAGAGGCCAUUGAAAACCAAGAAAAAUACAAAAAUUCCGGGCAAAUAUUGACAUGAUGGUAACCAGAUUUCAUGUCAAAUUUUAACAUGUAACCAGAAAGAUGAAUAUAAUUCAGAAAAGUACGAGCGACAUAAGGCGGGCGGUUGACUUCAAGUACAGAACGUGCUUGAAUGAGAUCCAAAAUGGCUUGAUCAACAAAAUCAGAAUGGGCGAGUGACGACUUAUUAUUGGGUAAGACAACACUAGAGGGAUAUUUCUCAAAGGGAAUUCUAUAACCACUACAAAUAACAUCUAAAAUCCAAUUGGAUGCAUCGAUGCUAACCCAAAAAGGUGCGUGAAUCUUAAGUCUAUCCUUGACUGACGCUAUACUUUAAAUCCCUAAGAUACGAAGGCUCAUUGGCGACUUGGCUGGGGAGGGAAUGUUGUUGUGCUGGUUGAGGCGAAAUGUUGUUUGCCAAGUCGUACGGGGCAAUCGCGCCACCAGUGUGAGGGCGAGCCACAGUAUCUACAUGGAGCGGAUCGGGAGCUGGAGUAUUGGCCUCCGAACUCGCAAUGGUUGUAGUAAGGUCUGGAAGGCGGUUGCUGUCCGUCACUUGUGUAGGUUGAUUGCCAUGGUUGGUAGGAGGACUAAGGUCUAUAUUGAGAACCUCGGAAAUUUCUGCCUUGAAGAUUUUCCACAUUUCUCCUACGUCGAAUUUUCUCUUGAUCCUUCAAAACCGGUUUUUCUGCAGACUUAAACUUUUUAUCGUCUUCUUCUCCCAAAGAAAUCAGGUUUGACUCGUAGUGCUUCACAGUUAACCAGCCUCCCUCGGAAGAAUCGGCUGAACGUAUUUUUCUGUUUCUUUCCUUUAGCAGGUUUAUUGCUUCUUCCAGGACUAAUAGGGCACUUGGAUUAGAAGUAAUGAGCUCUUUGAGUACUUAAGCUUUUCGAUUACUUCUCGAUUGAAUUUAUAAUUUCUGUCGUCGCCGGGAUGUUUUAACGUGAUUUGGCUGAGCUCCUUCACUUGCUUUGACGUAAAAAGAGCCUCGUCGGCAGAUUCCUUGGCUUUGUGGAAAUCAGAAAGUAUUUUGUUCUGAUGUGAGGACAGUUCAUCAAGAACAAAUUUCUUAAAAUCGGAUAAGUCUUCCUUAGAAGCAGGUUCGUCUCCCAUAAUCGCACGCCGAAACAACGACGCGUUAUGCAAACUGGUAAGGUCAAGUGAAAGACGAAUGUAAUUGGAAAUUAAACGAGACUUACCUGGAAAUCGAAGUUUGAUUGUGAUUCUAUGAGUCAUCAGUAGGGAGUGGUACGAGAGAGCGUAGCGCCAAGCAUCAAUCAGGUUUUAGAGUGCACAAUAAUCGCCUCAAUAACUACAGAGCCAAUACCCAGAGGGUGGGGCAUAACAAGGGUGGGCGUACCACUCCCUACACUCCCGGCUGAUGACUCAUAGAAUCACAACCAAACUUCGGCUUCCAGGUAAGUCUCGUUUAAUUUCCAAUUCUAUUUCGUCAUCAGCCUAGGUCGUGAGGGACUGGUACGAGAUUUCAGAGCAGUUAUUGAGGCAUCGUUGAAAAAUAAGAUGCGGGAACAGAUGUUACCCAUGAUGCAACAGUACCGGACAUUAAUAACACAACCAGUCUGUGCAAAAUUCACUUCAAUAAAACAGUGGUUAUAACAACAAGCGGGAUGUACAUUAUACAACAUCUAGGCUGUAGAUCCAUAAACAAUAAAAAUGUGGUAGCAUGUUUCA